This 468-nucleotide ribosomal RNA is filed under the name uncultured bacterium. RNAcentral's name for it is "partial 16S ribosomal RNA". It matches the Rfam family "Bacterial small subunit ribosomal RNA", at positions 28 to 507 of the family's 1533-position model. The record is from RNAcentral.
GACGAACGCUGGCGGCGUGCUUAACACAUGCAAGUCGAACGGAGAGGCCCUGCUUUUGUGGGGUGCUCGAGUGGCGAACGGGUGAGUAACACGUGAGUAACCUGCCCUUGACUUUGGGAUAACUUCAGGAAACUGGGGCUAAUACCGGAUAGGAGCUCCUGCUGCAUGGUGGGGGUUGGAAAGUUUCGGCGGUUGGGGAUGGACUCGCGGCUUAUCAGCUUGUUGGUGGGGUAGUGGCUUACCAAGGCUUUGACGGGUAGCCGGCCUGAGAGGGUGACCGGCCACAUUGGGACUGAGCUACGGCCCAGCCUCCUACGGGACGCAGCAGUGGGGAAUAUUGCACAAUGGGCGGAAGCCUGAUGCAGCAACGCCGCGUGCGGGAUGACGGCCUUCGGGUUGUAAACCGCUUUCGCCUGUGACGAAGCGUGAGUGACGGUAAUGGGUAAAGAAGCACCGGCUAACUCCGUG